AUGGGAUGUGGCUAUGGAGGACCCUCUUUUACCCCUCCUGGGAAACCUGCAUGCUCAAUCACCUCCCUGAAAUGCCUGUACACCAAUGCACGCAGCUUGGGGAACAAACAGGAAGAACUAGAGAUAUGUGUGCGGUUGCAGGGCCAUGAUCUCAUUGCCAUUACAGAGACAUGGUGGGAUAGCUCGCAUGACUGGAGUGCUGUCAUGGAUGGCUACGUGCUUUUUAGGAAAGACAGGCCAGGAAAGCGAGGUGGUGGAGUUGCUCUUUAUGUGAGAGAGCAACUGGAAUGUAUUGAGCUGUGCCUAGGGGUGGAUGAAGAGCGAGUGGAGAGCUUAUGGGUAAGGAUCAAAGGGCAGGCUAGCAUGGGUGACACUGUUGUGGGUGUUUACUACAGGCCACCUGAUCAGGAAGAGGAAGUCGAUGAGGCCUUCUACAGACAGCUGGAAGUAGCCUCACAAUCCCAGGCCCUGGUUCUCAUGGGGGACUUCAACCACCCCGAUAUCUGCUGGAAAGACAACACAGCUAGGCACAAACAGUCCUGGAGGUUCCUGCAGAGCAUUGGUGACAACUUCUUGACACAGGUGGUGGAGGAGCCAACAAGGAGAGGUGUGCUGCUGGACCUCGUACUAACAAACAAAGAAGGACUGGUGGAAGAUGUGAAGGUCGGGGGCUGCCUUGGCUGCAGUGACCAUGAGAUGGUGGAGUUCAGGAUCCUGCGAGGAGGCAGCAGGGCACCAAGUAAGAUCGCAACCCUGGACUUCAGGAGAGCAAACUUUGGCCUCUUCAGGGACCUACUUGGAGUAAUCCCAUGGGUGAGGGCCCUAGAAGGAAGGAGUGUUCAAGAGAGCUGGUUAAUAUUCAAACAUCACUUCCUCCAGGCUCAAGAGCGGUGCAUCCCUAUGAGUAGGAAGUCAAGCAAAGGAGGCAGGAGACCUGCAUGGAUGAGCAAGGAGCUCCUGGCAAAACUCAACCUGAAGAAGGAAGUAUACAGAAAGUGGAAAGGGGGACAGGCCACUUGGGAGGAAUAUAGGAACGUUGUCAGAGUAUGCAGGGAUGCGACGAGGAAGGCUAAGGCCCGUUUGGAAUUAAAUCUGGCAAGGCAUGUCAAGGACAGCAAGAAGGGCUUCUUCAAAUACAUCAGCAGCAAGAGGAAGACUAGGGAAAAUGUGGGCCCUUUGCUGAAUGGGGAGGGUGCCCUGGUGACGAAGGAUACAGAGAAGGCAGAGUUACUGAAUGCCUUCUUUGCUUCAGUCUUGGGACCAGACUCUUUUCAGUGGUGCCGAGCGACAGGACGCGAGGCAAUGGGCACAAACUGA
Long non-coding RNA from Apteryx haastii (Great spotted kiwi), 1317 nucleotides. Lineage: Eukaryota; Metazoa; Chordata; Aves; Apterygiformes; Apterygidae. The record is from Ensembl.